GGUGGCUUACUGGUAGAGCGCUUGCCUUGCAUGCAUGAAGCCCUGGGUUCGAUUCCUCAGCACCA
RNAcentral lists this transfer RNA (65 nucleotides) under Dipodomys ordii (Ord's kangaroo rat). It matches the Rfam family "tRNA". Rfam says of the family: Transfer RNA (tRNA) molecules are approximately 80 nucleotides in length. Lineage: Eukaryota; Metazoa; Chordata; Mammalia; Rodentia; Heteromyidae. The record is from Rfam by way of RNAcentral.